This is a non-coding RNA of Meleagris gallopavo (turkey), 5101 nucleotides long. Lineage: Eukaryota; Metazoa; Chordata; Aves; Galliformes; Phasianidae. The record is from RefSeq and is a predicted model, not a curated record.
UUCCCUGGGCAGCCUGUGCCAGUGCAUAACCACUCCUUCUGAGAAUAAAUGUUUCCUAAUAUCCAACCUGCAACUCCCCCAGUGCAACUUCAGGCUAUUGCCCCUCAUCCUAUCACUGUUACCAGCAAGAAGAGGCCAACCCCAACUCGUUGCAACCUCUUUUCAGGGAGUUGUAGAGAGUGAUCAAGUCUCCUAUGAGCUUCCUACAGACUAAGCAAUCUCAGAAUAUUUUACUUCGCAAGCAGGAGGAGCAAGAGAAGCCCUCUCCCUGCCGACCCACCAGCAGCACUGUCCUCCUGUCCUGCUGCAGGGUCAGAUCCUCCACAGGAGCUGCAUCCCAGCAUGAGCACACUGCAACUCAUUCAGCUUUCAAAAAUGAUUUGCAGAGCACAGUUUUUACUGUUUGACCUUUGGGUCGCAGCCUUUCCCCAUUGUGCACACACACCAUUCUUCUGCAAAGCAAACAGCCGUUUUUCUUCACUGAAGGGAUAAAGGCAAAAAUUUACUCCCAGAGAGAAAGGGGAACUUUUCCCAUCCUUUUUACUGCCCUUUUGUGAUGCUGGCACUAAGCCAACUCGCUGUGUUUUUCCUUUCUUUCCUACAGAUUUGUGAAUUUUAUGGUUUUUUUUUUCCACGCAGCUCCAGAGAAAAAGGAUCGCCAUGUCUUAACAUCCUGUUCACUAAAGCCCUAGAAAGGUGAAUCAAAUAUAUGACAGAGAGUUUUAUAAGGAUUGAAUACCCACUGUAUCUCAGCACAGUAAUAGCCUGUUAAAAUUCUCUUUGCUACCAUAUCUUCAGAAAUAUGAAAGGAAAAUCUUUCAACAGCCUCAUUCCCUCUGACUCCAAUCUACAUCGUGUUGUGAAGGAUAGGUGCCAGAUAAAUGCAUUGGUGGAAACAAAGAUAAGAAGGAUGUGCAUCCCAUCAACAGUUACAUUGCCUGAAUUAUGUUCUGAGACAGACACAGUGACAAUAACAGGACAGUGUUAAUAGAGUGAGUGGUUAAAUUACCUGCCUGGUAUCUUUCAAAGAGAUCAAGUUGCAUUUCAUUGCUGGAGAAUUCCUAAUCAAGAACAAGUGCAUUAUCUCAGAAUCUUCCGUCUGACAAUACAACACAGUGGGCAUCUCACAAGAAGAAGUUAAUUUAAGUGGUGCCUUUGUGCACUUCACAAAAGGGGUUGGAUUGAAAACAGGACGUUGAAGUAAUCUCUUUGCUGAAAAACAGAAUGAUAAUUCCAAGAAGCUUUCAAUGUUUUGGGUCUAUCUGCUCUUGGUAUAUCUUUAAGACAAAAGAUUUGUGCCUAAGGUGCAAUUCAACAUUUUUGCUUUGAUUUCUAUUUUUUCAUGUUCCCAUCAAAGGCACCUGAAUCUUUCUUCAACCCACAGCUGGCACAUUGGUUUCAAAGCUGGUAGAAUUACUUCUAGGCAUGAUAGAAACUUCUUCCACCUGUCUGCCCUAAGAGCUUCACACCUGCAACUGCCACUCCACCUGGCAUUCACUCAUUGAGUGUUUGCUCUACAUCUUCAGAAAAAUAAAAUCUACUCAGACGUGCCUUGAACGAUGACAGUGUCUCCCCAGAGCACCAUGCCCUGAGAAGGGGACUCUUAUGAGACCGUGUUACAACUUCCAUCAGUGUGCUGUAGGGAAUGGAGCAAGUACAGCAUUUCUUGUGAAGUCAUAGAAUCAUAGAACCGUUUGAGUUGGAAGAGACCUAUGAAGGCCAUCUAGACUGACUCCCCUGCAAUGAACAGCAACACCUAUAGCUCUAUUAGAUACUCAGAGCCCUGUCCAGCCUGACCUUGAGUCCUAGCCUCCCAAGCAGACAGAGACUGCACUGUGGUCCCACUUCAUGUUUAGGGCCUCUCUGAUCAUCGCUUCAUUGGUUUUCAUAGGUCUUUGUUCUUGUAGAGUGUUGGUACAAGCUAUUUCAGAGAUCCUUGGCUAGAGAGAGCAGAAAAAGUAGCCCUUCUUAACCCAGUUUACUUGACAGUUUCCAUAACAACUUGACACAGCUAUUUAUAUAGCUGGGAAUAUCAUUUGCGUUUCAUCAUUUUUAGAACCUUUGUUGCCAUAUCAACCUAACUGCCAUGUAGCAGAGUACAGCCCCAUUCAAUUCUCUCUUGUUUUCUCAGAAGCUUCUCUCUCAAUGAACUGAAAUUUAGAUGGGCCCCUGAGAGGCCCACAUGCCUCUUACUAUAUUGUUCAAUCCCUAAUUAAAUAGGCUUGUGCCUAUGUGACCUAUCUGCAGCACAGCAGUAGGCUCCCUGAUCUGGUGGGGGCAACCAGCGCAUGGCAGGGUGUUGGAGACAGGUGGGAUUUAAGGUCUUUUCCAACCUAAGACAUUCUGUGAUUCUAUAAGAACCUGUGAUAGGAUGGCAAGAUGAGGACAGAGCAGACAGUCAGACCAAAAAUGAUUGCAGAUUGCCUACUGUAGCAGAAAUGCAAAGUCAUGGCUUGGACCAGUGAUUGAGCACCUGGUGGGAAAGCAGGGUCCACCCAGGGAAGCUCAGGUGCAAGCAAUGCACCAGAGUGAAUGGAAGGGAUGGAGCCAGGAUCCACUCUUUCCAGACCUUAUUUAAAGGUUGGCAGUGGAGGUAAGGGUAUCUUAUUGGAGAUCCCUGAGUACUUGAGGCCUUACAAAGGACAUUCUUGGUAGGAUCUUGGAAAUUACCAGCCUGGUGCCUCUAACUGUGACCUCAGACAGUGCUGGGAGCAUUCUUUGCUUGUCUGCAGGCACCUGGAGGAUGGGAAACUGGCUGCUGGAAAGAAAUGGCUUUAGCCCUUUUGUGAAGCCCUAUUUGAAGCACUGAAGUCUCUCCCACCCAGCCCUCCCUAUGUCUGAUGCUUUUAUAAUGGAAAAAAUACAGAUAAUAAUAGAAAACUAAAAGACAACUGGAAGUAAUGAGCUCUACCUUAUGCUUGCUUCUUUGUCCUGUGAAGCCCAGGUCUGGAGGCAUAGAUGUAAAUGCCAUUAUGAGUCUCUUCCAAGAGCUGGGGCAAAUUGCAAGGAUGAGGUUUUCAAUGUUGUGAUUUAGACCAAAUUCUUCAGAAAAUCUGACUGUGAGUUACAUGCCCCUAUUCGCCAUCCUUUGAAGAAGGCUUAAUUUGGAAGAAAAAAAAAGUUUAAGUAACCAAGUAAUUCACAGUGGCUUCAGCAACUACUGAGAAACUGAAGAUCUGAUAUCUCAGGAGGUGUGAGGAAGAUCUGUGCCAAAUGUCACUUAUGGAAUAUGUUGGUUUAAGUUCAUCAUAAAAUAAAAAAAAAAGCUAAUUUUUUUUUUGUAUCAUUUUAUAUUGGUACAGUACCUGCCUUUGGGAUUUUUUUUAAAGAUUUGAAUUUGCUUUUCAAAAACAUGAAUGCUGCCAAGUUUUACUAAAGGACAAGAGCCUGCUGCCUUGCUGUCCCAGGGGAUUUGGAUGAAAGGCUCCUGCCAAGAAUUUCAGCCUUAGGAGAGACUUCUGCAAGAUUAUUUCCAGAUAUGAAACCCUUUUCCUGCUGUGCUGUUGAGCCCUCCCUGUCCAACAUUUCAUGGUGACUGCUGAUAAUGAGAGCGCAAAGGCCUCCCUCCCAACCAUUAACUACAACAGCUGAUCCAAGCAGUGCUUUCCGGCUUUUAUGGAGAAGAAUGAGUGACUUGUGCGUUCUUGUGAGAAACUAUUUAGACACCAGAUCCAGCACCUAUAGGUUUUUAUGGAAACAGAAUGUAGAUUCUUAUCAGCCUCCAUUUAUUUUGCAAGUAAUGACAAAUGAAUUCCUUAGAAACUCACUCCUGGCAAUCCCAGAGCACAGAAUUGCGUGGCUUUGAAAAUGCUUCGAGGCAUGGUGGUCAGAGGCACGUACUCUGAGGGCCACACUCUGCCUGAUGCCAGCUGCAGAAGAUGUUGCCAGGAUGCUAGAGGAGAGAAUGAGAGUGUGAUGGAUGGGGAAGGACCACCACAACGAUCAGGCUUCUUGAUAGUUGAUAUAUAUUGUGAGGUGUGAGCUGGAAGGAUACUCAGUGUGGGGUGGUGUAAGUAAGUAGUUAGACUUUCAGAGCCUGAUAAGAUUGCUUAUCUUAUCUAGGCCAUCUUCUGUCUAAUGUAGGAAUUUUUCCUUUUUGUACAUUUUCCAAUAUGUUAAAGCUCACUGGAUGUAAGCAUUUCCCAUAGGAAGUCCUUCACAAGUGACUUGCUUUCCCUGCCAGGAGCUCUCGCAGUCUGCAACUAGAGCCCUGCAGACAGAUCUUCUCGAUAGGAAAAGAGAAGUAGGUCCCAAUAUACAGGGGAUUCCUGCUAAAACUGGCCUGCAGCCUUGCUCACCUCCCACCCAGCAUUCUGGCAAAUUCUUCCAAGGCUCCCUGAGCAGACAUUUCUCCUUUCAUCAGCACUGAGUGCAGAGGGGAAGCAGUCAAUCCAGGAAGGCACAAAGCAGUAAGUCAACCUAUUUAUACUUAACAAGAGUCAGGCACCUUCCCCUCCUACAGUGCCUGUUCACACUCAUUUACUAUGUGACCUAUGGGCUCUUCGUGCUCUGCUCCAGCCAUUUCUGUGCACCCCCUUAUAACCCUGCUACUAGGGACUGUGAGAUCCCAGGCACAAUAAAACAGCUUCUAAUAAAGGUUUAUACAAUUCAAGCCUCUCCUGGCUUGAAAAGCAGCUGUAGCCUCAGCUCAGAAGGAUACUGGCAAGUUCAUGCUCUCUCAUCAAACCCAUCUUGUGAACUUUGCGUAGAGCAUGGAUGUUGAUGCCACCCGGGGCCCCUUAAUGCUCUGCUCAUUGCAGAACUCAUUCAGGUGAAAAGCCCUAGAUCAGUAAGAAUUAUUCCCCUGAGAGGCUGAGUAGAUUAUUCUCCUCCACCCCUUUCCCCUCUUUUCCUCUCUUUGUUCCAGAGCACUGGUCAGCCCCUGGCUCACCACCCUCGCACACGUGCAUGCACAACCAAGCCAAGAAAGGAAAUGAAUCAUUUGUAAUGGGUGAUCACGGCUGUAGGAUUCUUAUCUUGAACAUGAACGUGCAAAUCUUCAGGAGCUACGCAGAGCCUGGCAAAGCAAAAGAAACCUUGGCCAGCUUAGGGAUUUGAAAAUAAGAUUUUCUGGGGGGUAGAAACCAGUCUGGUUUCUCAU